UGCAGAUCUUGGCUCAGAGCGAACGUUAGCGGCGCGCCUAACACAUGCAAGUCGCACGAGAAAGGGGGCAACCCCCGGUACAGUGGCGCACGGGUGAGUAACACGUGGGUGAUCUGCCCAGAAGAAGGGGAUAACCUCUCGAAAGGGGGGCUAAUACCGCAUAGGACCACCGGGGCUUUGGCUCUGUGGUGAAAGGGGGCCUCUGUUUACAAGCUCCUGCUUCUGGAUGAGCCCGCGUCCCAUCAGCUAGUUGGUAGGGUAAUGGCCUACCAAGGCUACGACGGGUAGCUGGUCUAAGAGGAUGGCCAGCCACACUGGAACUGAGACACGGUCCAGACUCCUACGGGAGGCAGCAGUGGGGAAUCUUGCGCAAUGGGCGAAAGCCUGACGCAGCGACGCCGCGUGGGUGACGAAGGCCUC
This 420-nucleotide ribosomal RNA is filed under the name uncultured bacterium. RNAcentral's name for it is "bacterial SSU rRNA". It matches the Rfam family "Bacterial small subunit ribosomal RNA", at positions 12 to 418 of the family's 1533-position model. The record is from RNAcentral.